GACGUAGGGCGCGAGCGUUGUCCGGAUUUAUUGGGCGUAAAGAGCUCGUAGGCGGCUUGUCGCGUCGAAUGUGAAAACUCGGGGCUCAACCCCGCGCUUGCAUUCGAUACGGGCAGGCUCGAGUUCGGUAGGGGAGACUGGAAUUCCUGGUGUAGCGGUGAAAUGCGCAGAUAUCAGGAGGAACACCGGUGGCGAAGGCGGGUCUCUGGGCCGAUACUGACGCUGAGGAGCGAAAGCGUGGGGAGCGAACAGG
This 253-nucleotide ribosomal RNA is filed under the name uncultured bacterium. RNAcentral's name for it is "partial 16S ribosomal RNA". It matches the Rfam family "Bacterial small subunit ribosomal RNA", at positions 524 to 776 of the family's 1533-position model. The record is from RNAcentral. RNAcentral also lists the same sequence under 1 other name.